CUAGUUUAUUAAAUUCAUGGUAUGCAUCAGUUGAAAUAGCAAUGGUGUUUUAGAAAUAAGCAUUAGUUAUAGUUAUCUUGUCAAAAAGUUAGCAACAUUAUAUAUACUUAAGCUGAAUUCUUUGUCAUUGUUCAUGGGAACAGUGCCAAUGCCAAUGUUAAACUUAUUCAAUAUUUACAUAAAAAAGACAAUAUUAAUUAUCAUAAAAUUCACACAUAUAUAAUGCAUUAUGCAAUCAUUUUUACUUAUAUAUAACAAAACUCAAUUUGAGUUACUUUUCUAAUAAUAAUAUUUUAAAAAUUUGUUAGGUGUUUUAUUUUACAUAUGAAUUUACCAUCCAGUGACUAGAUUUUAAUUUAAUUCCUUCUUUACUUUGUUAACAGCUCCAAAUGGAUUCUUUUAGUGGG
Molecule: unclassified non-coding RNA, 407 nt
Filed under: Hevea brasiliensis (rubber tree)
Lineage: Eukaryota; Viridiplantae; Streptophyta; Magnoliopsida; Malpighiales; Euphorbiaceae
Source: RNAcentral